Molecule: unclassified non-coding RNA, 309 nt
Filed under: Hevea brasiliensis (rubber tree)
Lineage: Eukaryota; Viridiplantae; Streptophyta; Magnoliopsida; Malpighiales; Euphorbiaceae
Source: RNAcentral
GGUAGAUUGCCAUGUGGAAGUAAUGAUGUCAAUGCCUGAGAUGGAAGUAACUAGGGUAAUUAUCAUUGGAGGUCACCCAACUUUAUGAUAGUUUUCACUAAAGUCAUUAAACUUCAAUUUCAUUCAAAAAAAUCAUUGGACUUCAAUUUUGCAUAAAACAAACUCAUUGUUCCAACUUCCAUCCAAACCUCUGUCCCAGUGAUGAUAUGGCAAAUCUACGUGGAUAAACCAAUUAAUAUAUAUACUCACAUAAGAUAUUUGACUUCGAAAUUCUUCUUUCUCUCUCACAAGACUCUUCAUCGAUCUGAG